This 484-nucleotide ribosomal RNA is filed under the name uncultured bacterium. RNAcentral describes it as "partial 16S ribosomal RNA". It matches the Rfam family "Bacterial small subunit ribosomal RNA", at positions 30 to 507 of the family's 1533-position model. The record is from RNAcentral.
AUUGAACGCUGGCGGCAGGCCUAACACAUGCAAGUCGAGCGGAUGAAGGGAGCUUGCUCCUGGAUUCAGCGGCGGACGGGUGAGUAAUGCCUAGGAAUCUGCCUGGUAGUGGGGGAUAACGUCCGGAAACGGGCGCUAAUACCGCAUACGUCCUGAGGGAGAAAGUGGGGGAUCUUCGGACCUCACGCUAUCAGAUGAGCCUAGGUCGGAUUAGCUAGUUGGUGGGGUAAAGGCCUACCAAGGCGACGAUCCGUAACUGGUCUGAGAGGAUGAUCAGUCACACGGGAAAGUAGACACGGUCCAUACUACUACGGGAGGCAGCGGGGGGGAGUAGGGGACAAGGGGAGAAAGUAGGAGACAUCUAUGAGGCGGGUGUGAAGAAGGUAUUCGGAUUGUAUAACACUUUAAGUUGGGAGAAAGGGCAGUAAGUUAAUACCUUGCUGUCUGGACGUUACCAACAGAAUAAGCACCGGCUAACUUCGUG